GACGAACGCUGGCGGCGUGCCUAAUACAUGCAAGUAGAACGCACAGUUUAUACCGUAGCUUGCUACACCAUAGACUGUGAGUUGCGAACGGGUGAGUAACGCGUAGGUAACCUGCCUGGCAGCGGGGGAUAACUAUUGGAAACGAUAGCUAAUACCGCAUAAUAUUAAUUAUUGCAUGAUAAUUAAUUGAAAGGUGCAAUUGCACCACUACCAGAUGGACCUGCGUUGUAUUAGCUAGUAGGUGAGGUAACGGCUCACCUAGGCGACGAUACAUAGCCGAACUGAGAGGGUGGUCGGCCACACUGGGACUGAGACCCGGCCCAGACUCCUACGGGAGGCAGCAGUAGGGAAACUUCGGCAAUGGACGAAAGUCUGACCGAGCAACGCCGCGUGAGUGAAGAAGGUUUUCGGAUCGUAAAGCUCUGUUGUAAGAGAAGAACGGGUGUGAGAGUGGAAAGUUCACACUGUGACGGUAUCUUACCAGAAAGGGACGGCUAACUACGUG
This 505-nucleotide ribosomal RNA is filed under the name uncultured bacterium. Its description in RNAcentral is "partial 16S ribosomal RNA". It matches the Rfam family "Bacterial small subunit ribosomal RNA", at positions 28 to 507 of the family's 1533-position model. The record is from RNAcentral.